Molecule: ribosomal RNA, 301 nt
Filed under: uncultured bacterium
Lineage: Bacteria
Description: partial 16S ribosomal RNA
Rfam family: Bacterial small subunit ribosomal RNA
Source: RNAcentral
CAGUCGCCGCGGGAAAACGUAGGGUGCAAGCGUUGUCCGGAAUUAUUGGGCGUAAAGAGCUCGUAGGCGGUUUGUCGCGUCUGCUGUGAAAUCCCGAGGCUCAACCUCGGGCUUGCAGUGGGUACGGGCAGACUAGAGUGCGGUAGGGGAGAUUGGAAUUCCUGGUGUAGCGGUGGAAUGCGCAGAUAUCAGGAGGAACACCGAUGGCGAAGGCAGAUCUCUGGGCCGUAACUGACGCUGAGGAGCGAAAGCGUGGGGAGCGAACAGGAUUAGAUACCCGCGUAGUCCCUGUCUCUUAUCC